This 498-nucleotide ribosomal RNA is filed under the name uncultured bacterium. RNAcentral describes it as "partial 16S ribosomal RNA". It matches the Rfam family "Bacterial small subunit ribosomal RNA", at positions 27 to 507 of the family's 1533-position model. The record is from RNAcentral.
GGAUGAACGCUGGCGGCGUGCCUAAUACAUGCAAGUCGAGCGAACAGAUAAGGAGCUUGCUCCUUUGACGUUAGCGGCGGACGGGUGAGUAACACGUGGGUAACCUACCUAUAAGACUGGAAUAACUCCGGGAAACCGGGGCUAAUGCCGGAUAACAUUUAGAACCGCAUGGUUCUAAAGUGAAAGAUGGUUUUGCUAUCACUUAUAGAUGGACCCGCGCCGUAUUAGCUAGUUGGUAAGGUAACGGCUUACCAAGGCAACGAUACGUAGCCGACCUGAGAGGGUGAUCGGCCACACUGGAACUGAGACACGGUCCAGACUCCUACGGGAGGCAGCAGUAGGGAAUCUUCCGCAAUGGGCGAAAGCCUGACGGAGCAACGCCGCGUGAGUGAUGAAGGUCUUCGGAUCGUAAAACUCUGUUAUUAGGGAAGAACAAAUGUGUAAGUAACUGUGCACGUCUUGACGGUACCUAAUCAGAAAGCCACGGCUAACUACGUG